CGGAGCUAAANNNUUAAGUACACCGCCUGGGAAAUACGGCCGCAAGGCCAAAACUCAAAGGAAUUGACGGGGACCCGCACAAGCGGUGGAUGAUGAGGAUUAAUUCGAUGCANCGCGAAAAACCUUACCUNCCCUUGACAUNCCAGGAACUUUCCAGAGAUGGAUUGGUGCCCGAAAGGGAGCCUGGACACAGGNGAAGCAUGGCUGUNGUCAGCUCGUGUCGUGAGAUGUUGGGUUAAGUCCCGCAACGAGCGCAACCCUUGUCAUUAGUUNCCAUCAUUUAGUUGGGCACUNUAAUGAGACNNCCGGUGACAAACNGGAGGAAGGUGGGGAUGACGUCAAGUCCUCAUGGCCCUUAUGGGUAGGGCUUCACACGUCAUACAAUGGUCGGUACAGAGGGUUGCCAACCCGCGAGGGGGANCCAAUCCCAGAAAGCCGAUCGUAGUCCGGAUAGUAGUCUGCAACUCGACUACGUGAAGUCGGAAUCGCUAGUAAUCCCGGAUCAGCAUGCCGCGGNGAAUACGUUCCCGGGUCUUGUACACACCGCCCGUCACACCAUGGGAGUGGGUUUCACCAGAAGUAGGUAGUCUAACCGCAAGGAGGGCGCUUACCACGGUGGGAUUCAUGACUGGGGUGAAGUCGUAAC
Molecule: ribosomal RNA, 646 nt
Filed under: uncultured Dechloromonas sp.
Lineage: Bacteria; Pseudomonadati; Pseudomonadota; Betaproteobacteria; Rhodocyclales; Azonexaceae
Description: partial 16S ribosomal RNA
Rfam family: Bacterial small subunit ribosomal RNA
Source: RNAcentral